This 810-nucleotide long non-coding RNA is filed under the name Helianthus annuus (common sunflower). RNAcentral's name for it is "hypothetical non coding rna". The record is from RNAcentral. Lineage: Eukaryota; Viridiplantae; Streptophyta; Magnoliopsida; Asterales; Asteraceae.
UUGUCAUCAAUUUCAGCAACAUUUAUGACUUGCUUGUAAUAUGAUGUACUGAAAGGCCUUACUUCUUUCCAAGCCAUGCCAUGAAGUACAAGAAUACUCAAGUGGUGGUUGUUUCCAACAUCCAAAAUGUAACCCAUGAUCACAAUCAUCCAUGCCUUUGUUCUAUUAUUUUAAAUAUUUAAACCUUUCAAGCCUUAAAGUCUGAGAAUAAUUCUUGCACUCCUAAAUCUGUAACUCUCUCUCUGUUAUACCCACCCCAAACCGAACCCUCACUUCACCCACACUCUGUAUUUUAUUUAGUUUAAAUCCACCAAGAUGAAACCCACAACAUCAAGUUUUAGUGGAGAUUUUAUGGUAGCAAGCUUUGUUUAUCUCAAGAUUAUUAACUUUUUCACUCACCUUCUCCUUAAUUGCUUGCUUUAGGUCACGACGCGGUUAUUUCAAGCUUUGUGAUUUGUUUAUCUUUGUUUGAUAUAUGGAGUAUUAUGCUUUGCCGAUCAGGCGUGAAGGAAGAAGGCUCAAGUGCUAAGAAAACGGAAGGUUCACAAGAUCGAGGUAAAUCCUCGACUUAGGCGAUUGGACGACUUGGAACGUGCACACAUGGUUUACGCCCGCUUCUCGCUUCCGUUGUUAAGCCCCUUUUUGGAAUGGUUUAAGACUUGGUCUUAUGUAUUUAAGUCUAGUUAGUAUGUUGUCAUCCUUGUCGUAGGGUAAAAAUUUGGUAGAUGGAAAUCAUGUCGUGACCAAUGUGAACUUGUUUGUUUGUUUUGGGUUUUUGUCAGAAAUGUUAAAUGUUUAAGUUUGGUUUGU